RNAcentral lists this ribosomal RNA (478 nucleotides) under uncultured bacterium. Its description in RNAcentral is "partial 16S ribosomal RNA". It matches the Rfam family "Bacterial small subunit ribosomal RNA", at positions 28 to 507 of the family's 1533-position model. The record is from RNAcentral.
GAUGAACGCUGGCGGCGUGCUUAACACAUGCAAGUCGAACGAGAAGUGGAGACGGAAACCUUCGGGCGGAAGACUUUAUUUCGAGUGGCGGACGGGUGAGUAACGCGUGGGUAACCUGCCUCAUACAGGGGGAUAACAGUUGGAAACGACUGUUAAUACCGCAUAAGACCACAGCACCGCAUGGUGCGGGGGUAAAAACUCCGGUGGUAUGAGAUGGACCCGCGUUCGAUUAGCCAGUUGGCGGGGUAACGGCCCACCAAAGCGACGAUCGAUAGCCGAUCUGAGAGGAUGACCGGCCACAUUGGGACUGAGACACGGCCCAAGCUCCUACGGGAGGCAGCAGUGGGGAAUAUUGCACAAUGGGGGAAACCCUGAUGCAGCGACGCCGCGUGAGUGAAGAAGUAUUUCGGUAUGUAAAGCUCUAUCAGCAGGGAAGAAAAUGACGGUACCUGAGUAAGAAGCCCCGGCUAACUACGUG